Molecule: small RNA, 81 nt
Filed under: Pedobacter psychrophilus
Lineage: Bacteria; Pseudomonadati; Bacteroidota; Sphingobacteriia; Sphingobacteriales; Sphingobacteriaceae
Description: Pedobacter sp. CCM 8644 Flavo-1 RNA
Rfam family: Flavo-1 RNA
Source: Rfam by way of RNAcentral
UUUUUGCGUUAGGGAUAGGAGCGUCAUCCUUUUUUUUUGCUUUUCAGCAAAAAAAAGAUACAGCGGAUAGCCCGUUAAAAC